This 71-nucleotide transfer RNA is filed under the name Candidatus Blochmannia sansabeanus (nom. nud.). RNAcentral describes it as "tRNA-Cys". It matches the Rfam family "tRNA". From Rfam's summary of the family: Transfer RNA (tRNA) molecules are approximately 80 nucleotides in length. Their secondary structure includes four short double-helical elements and three loops (D, anti-codon, and T loops). The record is from RNAcentral. Lineage: Bacteria; Pseudomonadati; Pseudomonadota; Gammaproteobacteria; Enterobacterales; Enterobacteriaceae.
AGCGCGUUGGCAGAGUGGUUAUGCAGCGGAUUGCAAAUCCGUGUAGCUCGGUUCAAUUCCGAGACGCGCUU